GCCUGAUUGGUGUAGUGGUAACGCACGGAGGGAGUAGUCGCAGUAGGUCGCAUGAAGCAGUAAGUCGUCCAAGUUAUACCUCAGGGCUCAGUUCGAUUCUGAGAUCGGGCA
Molecule: non-coding RNA, 111 nt
Organism: Phialemonium atrogriseum
Lineage: Eukaryota; Fungi; Ascomycota; Sordariomycetes; Cephalothecales; Cephalothecaceae
Source: the annotation of a RefSeq genome assembly